CAGAGAUGUGCUGCCAAGCAGCUUGAGCUAAAAAAGGCCGCUCUUCUGACUACAGCCUGCAGACUGGUUUACAGUGUGAUCCUCUCAUCCCCUCAUCCUCUGAUCCACUCGUCAUGUUAAAAUCAACUACACCUCCUGAUCACUGAAGAACAAGAGAAACGGGGGAUCAUAAAAGGGGGAUCAUAAAAAAACAGACGGACUGCAGUCUAUAAUGGCAGAACUGCAAAGUGCUCCUAUAUGAAGGCCGCCUGUCUACCACCAAUGGGUGUCAAGUUUCCUACAGCCGCAGGACUUCAGCUGAGGCCUGAGGAGACCCUCACUGCGGGGAAUUCCAGUGCAGUUUCAUUGUACCCAGAAUACCUCUGGUCAGCCCCUUGGCCACCCAGUGCCCCACCAACAACUGAAAGAAUGGAAGAAGCACAGAACUUCGGCUGACCAACAGGAAGUAGCCGCAUGCCAAUGCUCGUGUAUUAUUGUUACUAUGCUGCUGUCAGCACAUCAUCAGAAAGGGGAUUUUUUUCCCUUUCCUAUUAUGGAAGAAUGAUGGAUUUUUAUAACUUCAGAUGUUUAUAACUAUAGAUGCCAUUCUAGAGGUGCAGAGUCUUGUUCUUGUUCCAACAGCAAAAAUACACCAUGUGAAGCUCCUAACUGGGUAAAAACAUCAUUCAUCUAAUGCACAGUUUCUGCUCUUUUUGUGCAGUAACACAAAAUAAACUUACUCUUUUUGAAGAUACAAAAAAAGCUAAAUUUAACCAAAAGUAUUCCAACCAAAACCACUUGAACACAUCAUGGUGUACUUAUGAGCUCCAGUGUCAUAAUCAGGAAACUCUAAAGGCUCAUUUAGGCUCAACAUCUUCUGUCCAUACAAAACAGAGCAGUACCACUAGAAACUGUGGGGACUGUGUAGCCAAUAAUUCCACUACAAAACGCCAAUCUCUCUCCUGUAAUGUAAGUAAAAAAAUUCUCCAUCCACAUGUCACGAAAUAUUUAACAGCUUUACAGACCACUGUCUGCACUGUCUCCAUAAUUACAACUUCCUCCACCAUCACUUUGUUUAUUGUUGUCAGACACUUUUGACUCUGGACUUCCCUCUAGUGAAGGUACUGCUUAACAUCCAUGCCAACGUAAAGAAUGCAUGGAAAUAUUUGACGGUUCCAUUGUUUGAAAUGAGCAUGUUCAUUUUCAUAUGUAAAGGGAGUAAAAUGAGCAGCAUUGCUUUUACUCAUAAGUAUGUAACAGCCAUGCACUAUGCAUCCCACUUUCAGUUGUCCAAAUCAUCCAAAUCCUACAGCCACACUGGCCCUCUGCGGAUUAGAUUGGUUAAACUGAGUUUGUUCAGUUUCUCUUUCUCACCUGUGUGCGAGUAAAUGAACCACAAGGCUCCAGUCAGCAAGGCUCCAAUGACGAAGGCUGCAAAGGCAAUGCCCACCACCGUAGGAGUGUCCAGCACAUACAUGAACGCUGCAAGAGAAGAAUCAACAGGGCAUGUGAGACAACAUAUAUAGUUCACAGCAAGAAUGAACUUCCCUACAAAAAACAUUAACAUUUAACAUUAAACUAUAAAAACUGUGUGCAAACUUACAUUCAG
This is a long non-coding RNA of Pygocentrus nattereri (red-bellied piranha), 1588 nucleotides long. RefSeq lists it as uncharacterized. Lineage: Eukaryota; Metazoa; Chordata; Actinopteri; Characiformes; Serrasalmidae. The record is from RefSeq and is a predicted model, not a curated record. The transcript is spliced from 3 exons.